CCUACGGGUGGCAGCAGUGGGGCAUAUUGGACAAUGGGGGGAACCCUGAUCCAGCGACGCCGCGUGAGUGAAGAAGUAUUUCGGUAUGUAAAGCUCUAUCAGCAGGGAAGAAAGAAAUGAUGGUACCUGACUAAGAAGCCCCGGCUAACUACGUGCCAGCAGCCGCGGUAAUACGUAGGGGGCAAGCGUUAUCCGGAUUUACUGGGUGUAAAGGGAGCGUAGACGGCGAUGCAAGUCUGAAGUGAAAGGCGGGGGCUCAACCCCUGGACUGCUUUGGAAACUGUAUGGCUGGAGUGCAGGAGAGGUAAGUGGAAUUCCUAGUGUAGCGGUGAAAUGCGUAGAUAUUAGGAGGAACACCAGUGGCGAAGGCGGCUUACUGGACUGUAACUGACGUUGAGGCUCGAAAGCGUGGGGAGCAAACAGGAUUAGAUACCCCAGUAGUC
RNAcentral lists this ribosomal RNA (443 nucleotides) under uncultured bacterium. RNAcentral's name for it is "partial 16S ribosomal RNA". It matches the Rfam family "Bacterial small subunit ribosomal RNA", at positions 338 to 795 of the family's 1533-position model. The record is from RNAcentral.